RNAcentral lists this ribosomal RNA (637 nucleotides) under uncultured bacterium. Its description in RNAcentral is "bacterial SSU rRNA". It matches the Rfam family "Bacterial small subunit ribosomal RNA", at positions 232 to 879 of the family's 1533-position model. The record is from RNAcentral.
CGCGGCCUAUCAGCUUGUUGGUGAGGUAAUGGCUCACCAAGGCGUCGACGGGUAGCCGGCCUGAGAGGGUGACCGGCCACACUGGGACUGAGACACGGCCCAGACUCCUACGGGAGGCAGCAGUGGGGAAUAUUGCACAAUGGGCGCAAGCCUGAUGCAGCAACGCCGCGUGAGGGACGACGGCCUUCGGGUUGUAAACCUCUUUUAGCAGGGAAGAAGCGAAAGUGACGGUACCUGCAGAAAAAGCACCGGCUAACUACGUGCCAGCAGCCGCGGUAAUACGUAGGGUGCAAGCGUUAUCCGGAAUUAUUGGGCGUAAAGAGCUCGUAGGCGGUUUGUCGCGUCUGCUGUGAAACCCCGAGGCUCAACCUCGGGCCUGCAGUGGGUACGGGCAGACUAGAGUGCGGUAGGGGAGAUUGGAAUUCCUGGUGUAGCGGUGGAAUGCGCAGAUAUCAGGAGGAACACCGAUGGCGAAGGCAGAUCUCUGGGCCGUAACUGACGCUGAGGAGCGAAAGGAUGGGGAGCAAACAGGCUUAGAUACCCUGGUAGUCCAUCCCGUAAACGUUGGGAACUAGUUGUGGGGGCCAUUCCACGGUCUCCGUGACGCAGCUAACGCAUUAAGUUCCCCGCCUGGGGA